CCUACGGGAGGCAGCAGUGGGGAAUAUUGCACAAUGGGCGCAAGCCUGAUGCAGCGACGCCGCGUGGGGGAUGACGGCCUUCGGGUUGUAAACCUCUUUCACCUACGACGAAGCGCAAGUGACGGUAGUAGGAGAAGAAGCACCGGCCAACUACGUGCCAGCAGCCGCGGUAAUACGUAGGGUGCGAGCGUUGUCCGGAAUUACUGGGCGUAAAGAGCUCGUAGGUGGUUUGUCGCGUUGUUCGUGAAAACUCACAGCUUAACUGUGGGCGUGCGGGCGAUACGGGCAGACUGGAGUACUGCAGGGGAGACUGGAAUUCCUGGUGUAGCGGUGGAAUGCGCAGAUAUCAGGAGGAACACCGGUGGCGAAGGCGGGUCUCUGGGCAGUAACUGACGCUGAGGAGCGAAAGCGUGGGGAGCGAACAGGAUUAGAUACCCUGGUAGUCCACGCCGUAAACGGUGGGUACUAGGUGUGGGUUUCCUUCCUUGGGAUCCGUGCCGUAGCUAACGCAUUAAGUACCCCGCUUGGGGAGUACGGCCGCAAGGCUAAAACUCAAAGGAAUUGACGG
Molecule: ribosomal RNA, 568 nt
Filed under: uncultured bacterium
Lineage: Bacteria
Description: bacterial SSU rRNA
Rfam family: Bacterial small subunit ribosomal RNA
Source: RNAcentral